AUGAAUUUAAUCCCACUGAGAUUAAUGAAGUGCAACAGAAGUAGUGAAAAGCAUCAGAAACUUCUCUAUAUAUCCCUUCUGCAUGGAGCUCCAUGGGAGGAAGUUGCUUGCAGGGACCAUUCAGCAGUUGAUAGAAAAAUCAUGAUUCAGACCACGAUAUGGAAGCAGUUCUCAUACAUGCAAUCAGCUGGAGUACAGAGAUAUACAAAUGCAUAACUAUGCAUCACAAUACACUCAUCUUAAGAGAAGAGGCUGGGACAAAUCAAUGUCAGCAUCAUUAUGAAGCUAAGUAGCCUUAUUAUAUGCAGAGAUUUGCUGGUGGUUAAGUCUGAACUUCUGCAAAUUUGCCUAAUCAUAUUUAGCCCAUACCUUGGCUAGAUAGAAAGUGCUCUAGAUUGCUCUCUGUGGCAUUGCAAAUGAUACAAUUUACUGUACAGUUGAAGUCAAAUAUAUGGAGGGAAGGAGGCUGGGGAAAUGUGUGGAGUUGGUAAUGCUGAGUUCCAUUUCAUUUUUCAUUUUAAGUUUUCCUUCUCUUUGUUUACAGUAACAGUAAUAAUUAAUUACAUGAACAACAGUUCUGAACUGUCUGGUUUAUUCAGUGAAAUUACGUUACCGGUUUUCAUACUGCCAGAACUCAUUUUCUAUCUUCGUACAGGAUUCAGGUCUCCGAAUGUAUUGUAAUAUAAAUAGGAGAGAAAAAAGAAGGGUGAGCAGCCCACCAUGGAUGAUGGACUAUUAGAGAUGGCCUUAAAGAGCCCAAUCAUCCAAUUGUUUGUACUACCACGUAAAUAAAGGAGAGUCUGUUCGAAGUACAAAGUAAGUGUGUUCUUCAAUUAACAAAGUUUGAUUUUUAGUUGAAUGAAACAACUUGACUGACAGUUAACAGUUUAUUCUAAAUAUAUGAUAAUGUGACUGACAUUUGUAAUCUUCCACCUGAAGAUCAAACCUGCCAAAUUUUGAAUGCGCAAGUAUCUGACAAAUAUGUAAAUACUAACACAAAAAGAGGGCUGCAGUGUAGAGCUGAUCAGGCUACCUUACAAUCAAGCAUACAGAAAUGACAGCUAUGUUAAUUUCCUUUGUUCAUAGUUUUUAACAAGACCGUGGUAAGAAAUGGGGAUUAAAUUCAGUAACUUUUAAAAAUAUGUUAAAAAUAACAAGCACUGAAAUAGAGACGUGGUGCUGUCUAGCAGAUUGUAAAGUGUGUGAAUCUCUAUUUAAGAAUCCCUUCAGAAUAAUUCAGAGAAAACAUUACAAAACAAUUUUUACUAUAUAGCAUGUAUUUACUGUUUAACGCAAUAGAAAGCAGUAAGCUCUUAGUACUACUUACAGGUUAAAUUUCUUACACAAUUGCACUUUGCUAGUGGUGUGUCUGGUAUAAGACAUCAGGAAAAUGCACGGAGGAGACCAAAAAUUUCUUUUUAGAGUAGCACUGUGUUUGUCAUUAACAACCUUUAACUCCACCAUGUUAGAGGUUCUCUUUCACAACCAUUUCAGUACAACACUCCAUAUACUUUUGAAUGCUAGCACAAAACUGAAGUUUGAGCUGAAAAUUAAAAGCUUUCUAAAACUGAUAGUGGAUUAGAUACUUCCCAGCAUUGAAGUUAUCUCAAGUGUUUCUUACAAUGAAAUUCUAACCGAUAUCCAUUCUUAUACUAAUACUUUUGCACUUAAAGGUUUCACUGAUAAUAAUCAUUAGAUUCAUUUACUCAGCCAGCAGCCACACAAAAACAGUUUACUUUCAAUAUGCUUUAAGACAACAAUAUGUACUCUAAUAACUAUAUAACAUACACUGAAAGAAAAUGGAAAAUUUUAAAUAAUAAUUGAGAGAAAGAAUACCAUCUACUUGGAAUUAUAUGUUCUUUAGAAACAACUGAAAAACAGCUAUAUAUAUAUUAUAUAUGUAUAGUAUUGUAUAGCUGCUGCAUGCAAUGUUUCCAUGUAAUAACCAUAAGUCACAAAUGUGCCUAUUGAAAAGAAACUACAAAGCAGAACCAUUAUGUUAGUGGAAUUCUCCAGGGUGGUUUGUGAUACGCAAGUUCGAUAUAUCCUUGCCAGGUAAUUGGUAAGCAUUUCUAACAUUUCAUCCUUUCUAAGCACUGAAAAGGUAAUAUUAUUUAACUGGUACACAGGUCAUAAAAAUCCAAGGAGCUUACCCUGGGUCACCAGAAAGAAGCCCAGAUCCAAAUGUUAUUUCCAACGUCCAGACAAGAAAUCUAAAAAAGAGAAUAAAAAAGGGUUUGUGACAAACCUGACACACAGUACUCUGAAAGUAGUAAAAUCAAUUGUGACAUUUUUCAUUUAUUUGUAAAUGCCUCUUCAGCACUAUGCUCACUCAAAAAGACAGCUGACUCUUAUAGAACAGGGGAGGUGAUGGUAAGAAAGAGAAAUCCUGACAGUUCCUUUAAUGAGAUUCUGCACUGAUGUUAUGAGAUAGCAAGCCCACAGAACAUUCCUACCCACUCUGGGAAUUAUGCUGCUAGAACCAUUCAAAGUAGGAACUCCCUACGUUCACAUAUUGCAAAUGUAGGAUAACUUUUAACAGGACAUGAAACUUGCCCCACAAACACUGCAAGAACAAUCAGAAGCAGGGGGGAUUUUAAUAAUUGUAGCCAUGCACGACUGCAUAUUAAUACAGGAAGAGGCCAUACACCAGAGAAGCUAGAGCUCAAGUGCACUUCUUUUGAGAUACCUCCAGUUUAAACCAUUUCACACCCAAGCUUUCCACCAAUAUCCCUUCCUCGCAGAUGAAACAUGCUGUGCAGUACUGCAUCACGUUAUCUUUCACUGGGAGUGGAACUGAAUCUCUCACAACAGCCUCAGGUAGCACUAGCACUUCAUCCUCUGUUAACAUUGGCAAAACAAUUUUGAAAAAGAAAAAACCCACACCUCUAUUCCUAACUCUUUUGAAUUAAGUUCAAGUAUUUGGG
RNAcentral lists this long non-coding RNA (2927 nucleotides) under Meleagris gallopavo (turkey). RNAcentral describes it as "lncRNA (ENSMGAG00000017605.1)". Lineage: Eukaryota; Metazoa; Chordata; Aves; Galliformes; Phasianidae. The record is from RNAcentral.